RNAcentral lists this ribosomal RNA (423 nucleotides) under uncultured bacterium. Its description in RNAcentral is "bacterial SSU rRNA". It matches the Rfam family "Bacterial small subunit ribosomal RNA", at positions 207 to 622 of the family's 1533-position model. The record is from RNAcentral.
AAGACCUUACGCUUUUGGAGCGGCCGAUGUCUGAUUAGCUUGUUGGUGAGGUAAAGGCUUACCAAGGCUUCGAUCAGUAGCUGGUCUGAGAGGACGACCAGCCACACUGGGACUGAGACACGGCCCAGACUCCUACGGGAGGCAGCAGUGGGGAAUUUUGGACAAUGGGGGCAACCCUGAUCCAGCCAUGCCGCGUGAGUGAAGAAGGCCUUCGGGUUGUAAAGCUCUUUCAGCCGGAACGAAACGGUUACGGUUAAUACCCGUGACUACUGACGGUACCGGAAGAAGAAGCACCGGCUAACUACGUGCCAGCAGCCGCGGUAAUACGUAGGGUGCAAGCGUUAAUCGGAAUUACUGGGCGUAAAGCGUGCGCAGGUGGUUUUGUAAGUCAGAUGUGAAAUCCCCGGGCUUAACCUGGGAACU